GAUGAACGCUGGCGGCGUGCCUAAUACAUGCAAGUCGAGCGAACGGACGAGAAGCUUGCUUUUCUGAUGUUAGCGGCGGACGGGUGAGUAACACGUGGAUAACCUACCUAUAAGACUGGGAUAACUUCGGGAAACCGGAGCUAAUACCGGAUAAUAUUUUGAACCGCAUGGUUCAAAAGUGAAAGACGGUCUUGCUGUCACUUAUAGAUGGAUCCGCGCUGCAUUAGCUAGUUGGUAAGGUAACGGCUUACCAAGGCAACGAUGCAUAGCCGACCUGAGAGGGUGAUCGGCCACACUGGAACUGAGACACGGUCCAGACUCCUACGGGAGGCAGCAGUAGGGAAUCUUCCGCAAUGGGCGAAAGCCUGACGGAGCAACGCCGCGUGAGUGAUGAAGGUCUUCGGAUCGUAAAACUCUGUUAUUAGGGGAGAACAUAUGUGUAAGUAACUGCGCACAUCUUGACGGUACCUAAUCAGAAAGCCACGGCUAACUACGUG
RNAcentral lists this ribosomal RNA (497 nucleotides) under uncultured bacterium. RNAcentral's name for it is "partial 16S ribosomal RNA". It matches the Rfam family "Bacterial small subunit ribosomal RNA", at positions 28 to 507 of the family's 1533-position model. The record is from RNAcentral.